ACAGUGCAGCUGGGAGCCUAAUGCAGACACUAGGAAUAGAAGAAAGUCCCAACAUCGCCAGUGCUCAACCCUCCCUUCAACAACAGGGAGCAGAGAAGAUAAAUGCCUUGAAGACAAGCGAGCAUGGAAAAGAAGAAGAAGAAUACGAAGAAAAUAAGUUUGUUAUGUGCCUAUGGAAAGGGUUUUAUAGGUGCCUCAUAACCUAG
This 206-nucleotide long non-coding RNA is filed under the name Dromaius novaehollandiae (emu). RNAcentral's name for it is "lncRNA (ENSDNVG00000000152.1)". Lineage: Eukaryota; Metazoa; Chordata; Aves; Casuariiformes; Dromaiidae. The record is from RNAcentral.